Molecule: ribosomal RNA, 547 nt
Filed under: uncultured bacterium
Lineage: Bacteria
Description: bacterial SSU rRNA
Rfam family: Bacterial small subunit ribosomal RNA
Source: RNAcentral
GCGAAAGCGUUAAGUGCUCCACCUGGGGAGUACGCCGGCAACGGUGAAACUCAAAGGAAUUGACGGGGGCCCGCACAAGCGGAGGAACAUGUGGUUUAAUUCGAUGAUACGCGAGGAACCUUACCCGGGCUCAAACGCGGCGUGAAUACUUUUGAAAGGAGGUAGUCAGCAAUGACACGCCGCGAGGUGCUGCAUGGUUGUCGUCAGCUCGUGCCGUGAGGUGUCGGCUUAAGUGCCAUAACGAGCGCAACCCCUACCGUCAGUUGCCAGCAGGUAAGGCUGGGGACUCUGACGGGACUGCCGGCGCAAGCUGCGGGGAAGGCGGGGAUGACGUCAAAUCAGCACGGCCCUUACGUCCGGGGCGACACACGUGUUACAAUGGCAGGUACAGCGGGAAGCCACCUGGCGACAGGGCGCGGAACCCGAAAACCUGUCUCAGUUCGGAUUGGAGUCUGCAACCCGACUCCAUGAAGCUGGAUUCGCUAGUAAUCGCGCAUCAGCCACGGCGCGGUGAAUACGUUCCCGGGCCUUGUACACACCGCCCGUC